GCCAUAUUGAGAAUUGAGAAACCAAAAUUUUCACUAAUCAAAAGGAAACCUGGACAGAGUGGAACAACAAAAAAAUCAGUAACAACCAAUAGGUUAUCCUUGUGUCGAUCCCAAUUGAAACACAAAGUACACUGUACACCUGUAUAGUCUCACCAAACUGAAAAUGAGUAUCCUGCGUAUCAGCUGUGUUUCUAAAUUCAGAUAAGGGUCAACUGAAUUCCCCAGUUAUUCCAGUACUGUAACUUCUUGAUCCACUCUCCAAAAGUUUGCAUCAUUGAAUUCUUUCACUCCUGAUCCGCCCUCAUCUGUAUUAUCCUUUUCUGGCAUCUUAGGAACCAAGCUCCUUUUCAAUGGAGCCGCUUCCCCAACAAUACCCUCCUUAAGAGCGUGUUCCAUUGCCUUUUCAGUACCCUCUAAUUCCACACCAACAAAUUCAACAUCCUCU
RNAcentral lists this unclassified non-coding RNA (445 nucleotides) under Hevea brasiliensis (rubber tree). Lineage: Eukaryota; Viridiplantae; Streptophyta; Magnoliopsida; Malpighiales; Euphorbiaceae. The record is from RNAcentral.